AUUAGUGGCGAACGGGUGAGUAAUACGUGAGUAACCUGCCCUUGACUCUGGGAUAAGCCUGGGAAACCGGGUCUAAUACUGGAUACUACCGCCCGCCGCAUGGUGGGUGGUGGAAAGGGUUUUACUGGUUUUGGAUGGGCUCACGGCCUAUCAGCUUGUUGGUGGGGUAAUGGCUCACCAAGGCGACGACGGGUAGCCGGCCUGAGAGGGUGACCGGCCACACUGGGACUGAGACACGGCCCAGACUCCUACGGGAGGCAGCAGUGGGGAAUAUUGCACAAUGGGCGGAAGCCUGAUGCAGCGACGCCGCGUGAGGGAUGACGGCCUUCGGGUUGUAAACCUCUUUCAGUAGGGAAGAAGCGAAAGUGACGGUACCUGCAGAAGAAGCGCCGGCUAACUACGUGCCAGCAGCCGCGGUAAUACGUAGGGCGCAAGCGUUGUCCGGAAUUAUUGGGCGUAAAGAGCUCGUAGGCGGUUUGUCGCGUCUGCUGUGAAAGCCCGGGGCUCA
RNAcentral lists this ribosomal RNA (508 nucleotides) under bacterium EP1.21. Its description in RNAcentral is "bacterial SSU rRNA". It matches the Rfam family "Bacterial small subunit ribosomal RNA", at positions 91 to 611 of the family's 1533-position model. The record is from RNAcentral.